AUACAUAUACAAUUUAAAAUUACAAAAUAAUAAAAUACUGUAGUUAAAAAAACGUUGGUUUAAGGAUGAAAACGUUCGUUACGGUUAAUAAAUAAUUCUCAAUGACAUAAGAUGUUUUUGCGUAGGUAUAACAUAAAAGCAAUUAUUCUCACAGUUAUGCAAGAUUUUUUUUAUUUACACAAAUCAUAUGAAGUCUUUCGGAUGUUAAGAUUAACUUUCAUCACGGCCAUCAUAACCUGUCUAACACGUAUCACUUUUCAAAUAUUAACAGUACUAGACCACUAUUAAUUAGUAGUGGUUGACCAUCCUCUUUUCCAGAAGGAGAUCAAGAACUACUUUUGGUCGAAUUACUUCAACCCCUUCCGCAACGUUCUCUUCUUUCUAUCGAACGAGCGGUAUGGUUAGCAUUGGAAUUGGAAAAUCCAAAAUACGAGGUUAACGGCCAGCACAAAAUAUGAUUUAAGUGAUUUUCGAGGGUGCCGAGUUUAAUAAUAUUAAAAUUUUUCAUAAUGUCGAAUAAAGAUUUUUGAAUUGUUCUACAGCAUUAGAAAUUUUCACUUGAAGACGUCAUUAUUUUAUAAAAUUUAAACGUUCUUUUUUAAAACGUUUACGAAACCAAACGGUUCUACGUUCUAUCGACUUUAAAACGAAAGGAUUCAAAAUAAAUGAACUUUUUUGGAAUUUUUACUGGAUAUUGUAAUCUGACGAUAUAAUAUUUUUUUGAAAUAAUUUUAAUAAUUUGAAACAAUAUAUUGAAGUGUUUCAUUGAAUUCAACAUGUGGAAUAACGGCCAUUUUUACAGACACGAUUCGAUACAUGGGUAAGAAUGGUGUGUUCUUCUUCUUAAUCAUUACUUGGCUUCCAAAUAACCUAUCCUUUGUUUUGUCUUCAUGAUGCGACACCAUCUUGACGCGCAACAUUUGAAUUCUUACCAGUUCGGAUCGAUGCCCGUGAACCCCAACCGAACGAGAAUUUUCCGGCAUGAAAGACAGAUUUUUGAAUAGCAAACAAUCGAAAACUUGGAAAAUCGAAAAUCCGAAGAAUUUUCUAGUUGUAGAACAGACUCCAGAUGUUCGGAUGAAGACGAUUACAUCAAAGAGACGGACAACUGCGGAAGGUAUGCAGUUUCUUCGUCCGCUUGUGCAGACGUAACCGAAGAUCUAAAGAGAAACAGAAAAAAACUGAAAGAUUUGCACAUUGAAAGUAUGAAAGAAGACAGAGAACCAGAAGAUAAUGAGAAUUCUUCGCAUUUUCGCGAACAAUUAGAAAUUUUCGAACUUCUUAAAAAGUCUGACUGUCGACACGAAAUGCUAAAGAAUAUGGGGAUGAAUUGGUUCUACGACGACACUUUAUUGGACCAGACCGAUUCUGACAGUGAAGAUGACGUUCGAAUUGUUAUUAACUCUCUGAAAGACGAUUCAAAAGAUGCGAAGAUCGAUGACGACAAAGAAAACGUGAGUCCCGAUUGGAAAAAAAGAAAAUCCAAUUUGACAUCAUUAGACACUUCUCAAUGGUCUUUGAAGAGGAUCGCGGAAACGAGUAACGUGCGAAAGAGAAUUCGAGAGAUGGAAAGAAAGAGACAGGCACUCGACGAAAAUUUUGAGACAAAUAAGGGAACAAAGAUAUCCAAAAUGAUCGACGAAAACGACUUUUAUCAUUCGACUGUCAACUCGGCGUUUUCAGAAGAAACGAAAGAUGCAGGAACAGAAAAGAGGAGAACGGUGGUGGAAAAUGCGGAUAGUUAGGAAUUCGUCUCUGAAAUGUUUGAAUGGUUUGAUAACAACGUGAAGGAGUUAUGCAAGGAAAAAUUCGUAAAUUCCCAUCCCAUUCGAUAUCGUCAAUGUGAGGAGAUUGAUCGAUCGCCAUUUAAGAGAUCAGAAUUUGGAAUAUUAGCAAGAGAUACAAAAGGAGUCGAUCAGAAAAUGGAAAAGUUGGUCAAUCUAGAAGUGACGAAAAAUUAUUUGUUUGGAACGAAACUAGAAGCAAUGAAAAUAUUCGAUAGUUUUACAGUAGAAAUGACGAAUUUCCCAAACCAGGUGGAAGAUUUAGAAAUUUUUACGGGAAAAGAAAGAUCGGAUGUCACUUCGACUCCUGGCUGAGGAGAAACGGGGAAACUGUUCCAAUAUGAUUUGAAUCUUUCCUUUAAGUCUUCUUCCGAAAUCAUUCCAAAUGACAAAAAUGAAGGAAAUUAAUGAAAAUCUUUCGAACUGAUCGAAGAGUACUGUUAUUAAUUGUACCUUGUGUGUGUACACUUUUGUGUAAAAUACGAAAGAAUUAAU
Molecule: RNA transcript, 2279 nt
Organism: Centruroides sculpturatus (bark scorpion)
Lineage: Eukaryota; Metazoa; Arthropoda; Arachnida; Scorpiones; Buthidae
Exons: 3
Source: RefSeq, a predicted model, not a curated record